ACUUUCAACAACGGAUCUCUUGGCUCUCGUAUCGAUGAAGAACGCAGCGAAAUGCGAUAAGUAAUGUGAAUUGCAGAAUUCAGUGAAUCAUCGAAUCUUUGAACGCACAUUGCGCCUCUUGGUAUUCCUUGAGGCAUGCCUGUUCGAGCGUCAC
RNAcentral lists this ribosomal RNA (154 nucleotides) under Tuber rufum. Its description in RNAcentral is "5.8S ribosomal RNA". It matches the Rfam family "5.8S ribosomal RNA". Rfam says of the family: 5.8S ribosomal RNA (5.8S rRNA) is a component of the large subunit of the eukaryotic ribosome. It is transcribed by RNA polymerase I as part of the 45S precursor that also contains 18S and 28S rRNA. Functionally, it is thought that 5.8S rRNA may be involved in ribosome translocation. The record is from RNAcentral. Lineage: Eukaryota; Fungi; Ascomycota; Pezizomycetes; Pezizales; Tuberaceae.